UACGGAGGGUGCAAGCGUUAAUCGGAAUUACUGGGCGUAAAGUGUGCGCAGGCGGCGCCGCAAGUCGAGUGUGAAAGCCCCGGGCUUAACUUGGGAAUUGCGCUCGAAACUAUGGUGCUGGAGUGUGGCAGAGGAAGGUGGAAUUCCACGUGUAGCGGUGAAAUGCGUAGAGAUGUGGAGGAACACUGAUGGCGAAGGCAGCCUUCUGGGCCAACACUGACGCUCAUGCACGAAAGCGUGGGGAGCAAACAGG
Molecule: ribosomal RNA, 253 nt
Filed under: uncultured bacterium
Lineage: Bacteria
Description: partial 16S ribosomal RNA
Rfam family: Bacterial small subunit ribosomal RNA
Source: RNAcentral